This 216-nucleotide long non-coding RNA is filed under the name Panax ginseng (ginseng). RNAcentral describes it as "long non-coding RNA (PGIN_LNC015983)". The record is from RNAcentral. Lineage: Eukaryota; Viridiplantae; Streptophyta; Magnoliopsida; Apiales; Araliaceae.
UCUGGACUUGUCUUUGUGGAUUGCCCAAUGAACAGAGACAGUUAUAUGUGUAGCAGCGUAUGAACGUAAUAUAGAAGAAGAGCGUUGCUGUGAAUAAGAACGUUGAGAAGAAAUCAGUAACAUAAAACUAAUUAAAAACGGCUAGGGCUAAAUAGUAUAAAAAGAAUUUAGGGAUUUUCCUGAUUGGCACCCCCCCUGCGCGGGCGUAUCGCGCGC